RNAcentral lists this ribosomal RNA (280 nucleotides) under uncultured bacterium. Its description in RNAcentral is "partial 16S ribosomal RNA". It matches the Rfam family "Bacterial small subunit ribosomal RNA", at positions 953 to 1212 of the family's 1533-position model. The record is from RNAcentral.
GAAGCAACGCGAAGAACCUUACCAGGUCUUGACAUCCUCUGACACUCCUAGAGAUAGGACGUUCCCCUUCGGGGGACAGAGUGACAGGUGGUGCAUGGUUGUCGUCAGCUCGUGUCGUGAGAUGUUGGGUUAAGUCCCGCAACGAGCGCAACCCUUGAUCUUAGUUGCCAGCAUUCAGUUGGGCACUCUAAGGUGACUGCCGGUGACAAACCGGAGGAAGGUGGGAUGACGUCAAAUCAUCAUGCCCCUUAUGACCUGGUAAGGUUCUUCGCGUUGCUUC